AUGGCAGCAGUUCGAUGCCUGGCGAGGACGAGGCUUGGUAGAAGGCUGGCGACGGUCGCGGAGGAGCGACGCCAACUCGUGCCAAGAAGGUUCUUCAGCGAGGAUGCUCAUGAGAUGAAGCAGAAGAUGAGGAAUCAGAAGGUGGAGGAGCUGUAUGAUGCCUUAUACAAGCGGGGGAAGAUUCCCACCACUAGUCCCUCUGUACAAGCCAGUCAAGAACCCGACCCUCUGCGUACAAGGCGUUACGCAAUGAGGAUUCGGGGUGUGUUUGAGUUAGCUGCCAAGAUGACGUUAGGCUUUAUGCUGGUUGCUUAUGCGGUUAGUCCUAAACUGCCCAGAGAAGAGGACACCACCAAUAAUUGCCCACAAUGCGGCUUGAGGACAUCAACGACCAGAGAAGGCACCACCAAUAAUUGA
This 417-nucleotide ribosomal RNA is filed under the name Triticum aestivum (bread wheat). RNAcentral's name for it is "partial small subunit ribosomal RNA". Lineage: Eukaryota; Viridiplantae; Streptophyta; Magnoliopsida; Poales; Poaceae. The record is from RNAcentral.